UACCGGUGAAAUCGGUGAUCUACGCUCUGUCCCCUUUCCAGCAGAAGAUAAUGCCGGGUCUCUGGAAGGACUUGCCCACCAAGAUUCAUCACAAGGUCUCUGAGAAUUGGAUCAGCGCCACCCUCUUGCUCGGUCCCCUCGUCGGCACCUACGCGUAAGUCUCUCUCCCUCUCUUUCUCUCUCUGUGUGUUAGGGUUUCCCCCUUUUGUCUCAUGAUUAUGUAUUAUAUGUUUAUCGUUGUGAAUUCAAUCGAGUGAUGAUGAACAGUUAAGCGUUUUGUUGUUGGUUUUGGACCGGAAUUACUCGGUCCCCUCGUCGGCACCUGCACGUAACUUUCUCUUUCUAUCUCUCUUUGUUAGGGUUUCCUCUUUAUAUGUUUUACGCGAUGAUUAUGUAUUAUUUGUUUAUCGUUGUGAGUUCAGUCGAAUGACGAUGAGCAGUUAAACAUUUUGUUGUUGGUUUUGGAUCUGAAUUGGUCUCGAACCUUGCUGGAAGAAGGCGCUGUGUUCUGAUUUGUCAGGGAACAGGAAACGAAUCUGUUUCAAUAAAUCC
Molecule: long non-coding RNA, 552 nt
Filed under: Phaseolus vulgaris (common bean)
Lineage: Eukaryota; Viridiplantae; Streptophyta; Magnoliopsida; Fabales; Fabaceae
Description: long non-coding RNA (PVUL_LNC001876)
Source: RNAcentral